AAUCAACGCUGGCGGCGCGCUUAACACAUGCAAGUCGCACGAGAAAGGGAGCACUCCUGAGUAAAGUGGCGUACGGGUGAGUAACACGUGGGAAUCUACCUCUUGGCGGGGAAUAACCCUGGGAAACCGGGGCUAAUACCGCAUAAGCUCGUGAGAGGAAAGCAGCAAUGCACCGAGAGAGGAGCCCGCGGCCGAUUAGCUAGUUGGUGGGGUAAUGGCUCACCAAGGCGAAGAUCGGUAGCCGGCCUGAGAGGGCACACGGCCACACUGGCACUGAAACACGGGCCAGACUCCUACGGGAGGCAGCAGUGGGGAAUCUUGCACAAUGGGGGAAACCCUGAUGCAGCGACGCCGCGUGAGCGAUGAAGCCCUUCGGGGUGUAAAGCUCUUUCGACAGGAACGAUAAUGACGGUACCUGGAGAAGAAGCUGCGGCUAACUACGUG
Molecule: ribosomal RNA, 444 nt
Filed under: uncultured bacterium
Lineage: Bacteria
Description: partial 16S ribosomal RNA
Rfam family: Bacterial small subunit ribosomal RNA
Source: RNAcentral